UUGGUUCAUUCGGGAACUCUGAGACAGGUGCUGCAUGGUUGUCGUCAGCUCGUGUUGUGAAAUGUUGGGUUAAGUCCCGCAACGAGCGCAACCCUUAUCCUUUGUUGCCAGCGGUUCGGCCGGGAACUCAAAGGAGACUGCCAGUGAUAAACUGGAGGAAGGUGGGGAUGACGUCAAGUCAUCAUGGCCCUUACGAGUAGGGCUACACACGUGCUACAAUGGCGCAUACAAAGAGAAGCGACCUCGCGAGAGCAAGCGGACCUCAUAAAGUGCGUCGUAGUCCGGAUUGGAGUCUGCAACUCGACUCCAUGAAGUCGGAAUCGCUAGUAAUCGUNGAUCAGAAUGCUACGGUGAAUACGUUCCCGGGUCUUGUA
This 374-nucleotide ribosomal RNA is filed under the name Enterobacter sp. LGIRH. RNAcentral's name for it is "bacterial SSU rRNA". It matches the Rfam family "Bacterial small subunit ribosomal RNA", at positions 1011 to 1385 of the family's 1533-position model. The record is from RNAcentral. Lineage: Bacteria; Pseudomonadati; Pseudomonadota; Gammaproteobacteria; Enterobacterales; Enterobacteriaceae.